CACCUCUCCACUGAGACUUCAUAUCAGACCACUACGCUGAUAUUAGGGUGAUAGGAGUCAAGAGCAGGAAACAGCAACUGUCCUAGAUAUUUUGGAAAGAAGCAUGUGUGCCAGAGGCUGAGAAAUAAAUCUAACAUUCGCGAGCUUGCCGACUUGGUAACAGAUCUAGUGCUGUGCUGUAAUAUCCUUUCCAAGGUGAAGGAGAAGUUGCUACUUCUGACUACACUAACUACAAAAAAAAAAGAUGAACAUAACACCUAGUGAACCUCUUUGAGAUUUGAAAGCCACAUAUCCCCAUUUUUGGAGUACUAGGAAAGAGUGCGAGUUUCAAGUGGGACUUCAAGCAAGAGAAGGCUUUGUCACAGGUCCGAGUUGCUAUGUAAGCUGCUCUUAAACUUGGGCUGUAUGACCCAGCUGGCUCAAUGAUUCUUGAAAUGUCUGUGGCAGAUAGGUAUGUGUAUGGAACUUUUGUAAAGCACCUAUAGCUGAAGCACUAUAUGGACUUAAUAUUGUAGAACCAAGCCAUGCCAUCUUCUGUAGAUAAUUAUCCUACUUUUGAGAAGCAACAUCUAGACUAGUAGACUGAACAUUUGCCCUUGGAUUCCUGUUUCCCUGUAGCCUUAGAUGCCACAGUGAACUGAGCAUUGUGUGAUCCAUCAAGCCAGAAAGCUGUGUGUACAUAAUAGAGUUCUAUCAUAAAGCUGAAGGGGUAUAUUUAAGACUGGGUCUGAACAGUCACUGAAGGCAUUUAAGUAAGUUGCAUGAGAAAAUAACAGAUUCCCAUGGCUCUUAAUCUUGCUACAUUGCCAUGAUGGUUAAUAUUGAGUAUCAACUUGAUGGAAUUGAAGGAUGCAAAGUGUUGUUCCUGGGUGUGCCUGUGAGAUUGUUGCCAAAGGAGAUUAACAUUUGACUCGGUGGAUUGGGAAAGGCAGACCCACCCUCAAUCUUGAGUGGGCAUAAUCUAAUUGGCUGCUAGUGUGGCCAGAAUAAAAGUAGCAGAAGAAUGUGAAAAGACUAGACUGGCUUAGUCUUCCAGCCUACAUCUUUCUCCCGUGCUGGGUGCUUCCUGCCCUCAAACAUUGGACUCCAAGUUCUUCAGUUUGGGGAAUUGAACUAGCUUCCUUCCUCCUCAGCUUGCAGACAGCCUACUGUGGGACCUCACCUCAUGAUCAUACUCCUUCUACAUCUGUUGUUCAAGGUUCAGACUCAAUAUGCAACUAAUUUAUGAAGCCCGUUUAGACCACAACAACCCUGAUGCAAGAUGUUCUCCACUAUGUUAAGAUGCAGCAUGAAGCCCUUACCAGAAGCUAAGAGUAUUCCGUUAGAGCAACACAAAACAGACUAAGACAACUUGUUCAUUACUGAUGUACAGAUUUCACUGACCAGCAACACUCCAGUGAAACUGCAGUCAAAAUUUAUGGAGUCUGCAGUAAAUAUGAAGCUAAAGUAACAGGCAAUGAAGAGCUCACCUGCUGCCUCCAGGGCUGCUUAACAUGCUGCAACCAGGCUGAAUGGUGCAUAUUGGACUGGAACCUGGAUCCUUGAGUAAAUGAAAGGAGAAAAGCCCCUAUCCAGUAUAUCAGAUUUGUGUAAACCAAAAAAUAAACUUUCAAUAUGGUAACUAAACUGGAAUAACGCAUAUGACGGGGGAGAGUUCCCUGACCCUCUUGCGAGUCUUGCCACAGGGAGGGUGUGGAGGGUUGGUGGUAGCUUGUUUUGCUUUGUUGCUGAACUCAAGCCCCUUGCAGGAGUGGGAGCAUGCAGCACUCUCCAGGAAAAGCUGCCUGCUAGAUAACAUGAAGACACGCCAGCAGCCUCAUGGGGGUGGAGGGAAGAGAGGCCUCAUGGUGAGGGACUGAGGCCUCCUACUAAAAGCCAGCACUAACUUGUCAGGCAUGAAAGUGAGCCACCUGGAAGCACAUCUUCAGCCCCUGUGGACCCUUUAGAUGACUGCAGGCCCUGCUGACAUCUUGACUGAAACCUCAUGAGACAGCUAGAACCAGAAUCGCCCAGAGAGAAGAACAUCAAAGGUGCGGGUUUAGGGCCCAGAAAGCCACUGGCCCCUUAAUAUCCAGAAAAGGACAAAAACUCACGGGAGUCAAGCACUGUUUGCCUGGAAGAAGAAAGAUAAAGACACAGACAAGCCCUGCUCCCCCACCAGCCAAAACUACUAUUCUACCUGUUUCCUGAUUCUGACCCACACUUCAAGGUACUUAUGAAGAGGGACUAUGUCUGAGUUUAUGCAUUAUUAUGUUCCUAACACCUGGGAGAAGGUCUGGUACCCAGUUGACUCUUG
This 2296-nucleotide long non-coding RNA is filed under the name Homo sapiens (human). Its description in RNAcentral is "HSALNT0102570". Lineage: Eukaryota; Metazoa; Chordata; Mammalia; Primates; Hominidae. The record is from RNAcentral.